RNAcentral lists this transfer RNA (72 nucleotides) under Hyaloperonospora arabidopsidis Emoy2. RNAcentral's name for it is "Hyaloperonospora arabidopsidis tRNA-Asp for anticodon GUC". It matches the Rfam family "tRNA". Rfam says of the family: Transfer RNA (tRNA) molecules are approximately 80 nucleotides in length. Their secondary structure includes four short double-helical elements and three loops (D, anti-codon, and T loops). Lineage: Eukaryota; Oomycota; Peronosporomycetes; Peronosporales; Peronosporaceae. The record is from Rfam by way of RNAcentral.
GGAUCUGUAGCUUAAUGGCAGAGCAUCAAUUUGUCGAAUUGGAAGAUGAGGGUUCGAAUCCCUUCAGGUCCG